AAUACAGGGCUUAAGGGCCAGAAAAUACCUAUUCAGAGCCUUACGGAUUUGUAUUUGGGAUGAGUUAAGUAUAAACCCCUUAACAAGUAUCAAUUGGAGGGCAAGUCUGGUGCCAGCAGCCGCGGUAAUUCCAGCUCCAAUAGCGUAUAUUAAAGUUGUUGCAGUUAAAAAGCUCGUAGUUAAUUUUCUGUUAAUUUUUAUAUACAAUGCUACGGUAUUUAUAUAAUAUUAACAUAAUUCAUAUUACUUUUUAGUAAAUGAAACUUUAAUUUGAAAAAAUUAAAAUGGUUAAAGCAAGGAAUU
Molecule: ribosomal RNA, 303 nt
Filed under: Cryptosporidium ryanae
Lineage: Eukaryota; Apicomplexa; Conoidasida; Eucoccidiorida; Cryptosporidiidae
Description: bacterial SSU rRNA
Rfam family: Eukaryotic small subunit ribosomal RNA
Source: RNAcentral